This 524-nucleotide ribosomal RNA is filed under the name uncultured bacterium. RNAcentral describes it as "partial 16S ribosomal RNA". It matches the Rfam family "Bacterial small subunit ribosomal RNA", at positions 28 to 523 of the family's 1533-position model. The record is from RNAcentral.
GACGAACGCUGGCGGCGUGCCUAAUACAUGCAAGUCGAGCGCAGGAAACUGACGGAACUCUUCGGAGGGAAGGCAGUGGAAUGAGCGGCGGACGGGUGAGUAACACGUAAGGAACCUGCCUCAAGGAUUGGGAUAACUCCGAGAAAUCGGAGCUAAUACCGGAUAGUUCAACGGACCGCAUGGUCCGCUGAUGAAAGGCGCUUCGGCGUCACCUUGAGAUGGCCUUGCGGUGCAUUAGCUAGUUGGUGGGGUAACGGCCCACCAAGGCGACGGUGCAUAGCCGACCUGGGAGGGUGAUCGGCCACACUGGGACUGAGACACGGCCCAGACUCCUACGGGAGGCAGCAGUAGGGAAUCUUCCACAAUGGACGAAAGUCUGAUGGAGCAACGCCGCGUGAGUGAUGAAGGUUUUCGGAUCGUAAAACUCUGUUGUAAGGGAAGAACACGUACGAGAGGGAAUGCUCGUACCUUGACGGUACCUUACGAGAAAGCCACGGCUAACUACGUGCCAGCCGCCGCGGUAA